This is a long non-coding RNA of Paramacrobiotus metropolitanus, 1377 nucleotides long. RefSeq lists it as uncharacterized. NCBI's taxonomy places the organism in Eukaryota, Metazoa, Tardigrada, Eutardigrada, Parachela, Macrobiotidae. The record is from RefSeq and is a predicted model, not a curated record. The transcript is spliced from 5 exons.
UAUCGCUUAAAUUUCAUUCGUCGUCACUUUGAUGAAUGCUGGCAUAAGUCCAGUCGUUAUUAGCCUCGUUCUCCAUGCGAUCGUUUUCUGGCAAGCCGCAAUGGUGUACAGGCUCUUGUUCUUCGUCCGCAUCAUUUUCCUCGUUCAUCGCUUCGUAAUGGGUCGGCUGCCUUGGAGGACUGUAGUGCUCUUUCUCUUGCAAAUAGUCCUCCAGAUAAGAACCAAAAAGUUUUGAACUGUCUCUGCCAUGUUGCGAAAGAAAUGUGAGGGACGCUUGCCGUAUGUUCACAGGAAUAUCAUGAUUAUAGUGCAAUAAAUUAAGGCAACAAUACCAGUAUAAAGUACUGCAGUUCCAAUAAAAGCCGUUGCCCCGAGACACUUCGGCAAAGCUAUGACUUUCGGCGCGCCAAGGCAAUGUUUCAGGAGGUGCCGUCUGCUCGCAUGCAAAGCGAUCGACAGAAAAUGAAAAAACUGGAUUACAGGCCGAGUUAUUUGGAGUUAAAUGGAUUACUCUUGGCUUACCGAGCUUAAUCCUAAAAAGAACAAAGGUCAAUAACAGUUGAACGCCGUUGCGCCGGCAAAUAUUGUUAUUUUGGUGGAAUCGGAAGGCCUCGGAAUGGCGCACUCGUUCUGUCAAGCUUCUACAGACCGAAGAUAAUAUUUUCAUCCUUUAUGUUGUAAAGUUGUUGCAGGAAGACUUGUCGUAUCUCAGUGAAUGGCUUACCGGCAAACAGUUAAGUCUUAACGCUGCAAAGUCUGUCCACGUUCAGUUCUCGAAACAGAAAGUUUCAACUUGCGAAUAUCAGUACAGCAUCAGCAGUGCUCCCAUCCCGCAGUGUGAUCACGUUAAGCAUCUAGGAAUAUUUGUUGAUCGUAAACUUGACUUCAAGAUCAACAGUGAAAAUGUAGCAAAAAGUGUGAUCGAAGAAUUAGCUGCAUAAAUCACGUUUUCCGAUACACCGAUUACGGCGCUCGAAUACGACUUUUCGAGUCACUUGUCCUUUCCGUAAUCGAUUACUGUUGUUCUGUUAUACGUCCUUCACUAAAAAGUCGACAAAUGAAAUGGAACGUUGCCAAAGGAGGUUCACCAAAACUCUACGACUCGGCAACAAUCUCUUGAAUUACAGUGAACGCCUGAAAGAACUUAAGUGGGAUGAUCUUCGUACCCGUCGUAUGAAAAAAGCCUUGUUGUUCAUAUAUAAAUUAGUAUUUCGGGUGGUUCCGAUGGGUGAAAUGGUUGUUUUGCCACUUCGAUUCUCGGCUGCUGUGCUUGAGUCUGUUGCAGGUAACACCAGGACAUCAGAUCGUCUUAUGAAACACCCGUGUCCUAUUAAACCGGCACCGACAACCAUCUGUGGACGAACGGUUAUCACCACC